Molecule: ribosomal RNA, 404 nt
Filed under: uncultured Escherichia sp.
Lineage: Bacteria; Pseudomonadati; Pseudomonadota; Gammaproteobacteria; Enterobacterales; Enterobacteriaceae
Description: partial 16S ribosomal RNA
Rfam family: Bacterial small subunit ribosomal RNA
Source: RNAcentral
GUUAAAGCCUUGGGUUGUAAGUACUUUCAGCGGGGAGGAGGGAGUAAAGUUAAUACCUUUGCUCAUUGACGUUACCCGCAGAAGAAGCACCGGCUAACUCCGUGCCAGCAGCCGCGGUAAUACGGAGGGUGCAAGCGUUAAUCGGAAUUACUGGGCGUAAAGCGCACGCAGGCGGUUUGUUAAGUCAGAUGUGAAAUCCCCGGGCUCAACCUGGGAACUGCAUCUGAUACUGGCAAGCUUGAGUCUCGUAGAGGGGGGUAGAAUUCCAGGUGUAGCGGUGAAAUGCGUAGAGAUCUGGAGGAAUACCGGUGGCGAAGGCGGCCCCCUGGACGAAGACUGACGCUCAGGUGCGAAAGCGUGGGGAGCAAACAGGAUUAGAUACCCUGUAGUCCAUUUUUUUUUUU